RNAcentral lists this ribosomal RNA (402 nucleotides) under Acanthamoeba castellanii. RNAcentral's name for it is "bacterial SSU rRNA". It matches the Rfam family "Bacterial small subunit ribosomal RNA", at positions 356 to 770 of the family's 1533-position model. The record is from RNAcentral. Lineage: Eukaryota; Discosea; Longamoebia; Acanthamoebidae. RNAcentral also lists the same sequence under 1 other name.
GGAGAAUAUUUGACAAUGGGCGAAAGCUUGAUCGAGUAAUGUUACGUGGGUGAUCAGAAGGCUUAAUUGCUGUAAAACUCGUUUCGUCAAGGAUUAUAAUGCAAUCGUACUUGAAGGAGAAGCCCUGACUAACUUCGUGCCAGCAGUCGCGGUAAUACGGAGAGGGCAAGUGUUAUUCGCAUUGACUGGGUGUAAAGGGUGCGUAGGUGGCUUGUUAAGUUUUAAAGUAAAGGUUAAACUCAAAGUUUAAAGGCUUUUUAAUACUAAUAGGCUAGAGUUUACUAGAAGAUAGCUGAACAUUAAGUGUAAAGGUGAAAUUUUUCGAUAUUUAAAGGACAUGCAAUAGGCGAAGGCUGCUAUCUAUUUUAAUACUGACACUGAGGCACAAAAGCAUAGGGAUCA